UACGGAGGAUCCGAGCGUUAUCCGGAUUUAUUGGGUUUAAAGGGUGCGCAGGUUGUUUGAUAAGUCAGUGGUGAAAGUCUGUCGCUUAACGGUAGGAUUGCCAUUGAUACUGUUAGACUUGAAUAUGGAUGAGGUAGGCGGAAUGUGUAGUGUAGCGGUGAAAUGCAUAGAUAUUACACAGAACACCGAUUGCGAAGGCAGCUUACUAAUCCAUCAUUGACGCUGAGGCACGAAAGCGUGGGGAGUCAAACAGGA
RNAcentral lists this ribosomal RNA (255 nucleotides) under uncultured prokaryote. RNAcentral describes it as "partial 16S ribosomal RNA". It matches the Rfam family "Bacterial small subunit ribosomal RNA", at positions 524 to 777 of the family's 1533-position model. The record is from RNAcentral.